GACUGGCGGCGUGCUUAACACAUGCAAGUCACGGGGGCCCGCARGGGCAACCGGCGAACGGGUGCGUAACACGUGAGCAAUCUGCCGAUCUCUGGGGGAUAGCCGGCCCAACGGCCGGGUAAUACCGCAUACGAUCAUCGAGGGGAGUCCCUUGGUGAUGAAACCUCCGGGGGAGAUCGAGGAGCUCGCGACCUAUCAGCUAGUUGGCGGGGUAACGGCCCACCAAGGCAACGACGGGUAGCUGGCCUGAGAGGAUGGCCAGCCACAUUGGGACUGCGACACGGCCCAGACUCCUACGGGAGGCAGCAGUGGGGAAUAUUGCGCAAUGGACGAAAGUCUGACGCAGCGACGCCGCGUGUGGGAUGAAGCUCUUCGGGGUGUAAACCACUGUUGCCCGGGACGAAACUCCUCUUUCGAGAGGAUUGACGGUACCGGGUGAGGAAGCACCGGCUAACUCUGUG
This 461-nucleotide ribosomal RNA is filed under the name uncultured bacterium. RNAcentral's name for it is "bacterial SSU rRNA". It matches the Rfam family "Bacterial small subunit ribosomal RNA", at positions 36 to 507 of the family's 1533-position model. The record is from RNAcentral.